Molecule: ribosomal RNA, 439 nt
Filed under: uncultured bacterium
Lineage: Bacteria
Description: partial 16S ribosomal RNA
Rfam family: Bacterial small subunit ribosomal RNA
Source: RNAcentral
CUACGGGGCGCUGCAGUGAGGAAUAUUGCACAAUGGGGGGAACCCUGAUGCAGCAACGCCGCGUGGAGGAUGACGCAUUUCGGUGUGUAAACUCCUUUUAUAUGUCAAGAAAAUGACGGUAGCAUAUGAAUAAGCACCGGCUAACUCCGUGCCAGCAGCCGCGGUAAUACGGAGGGUGCAAGCGUUACUCGGAAUCACUGGGCGUAAAGGACGCGUAGGCGGGUUGGAAAGUCAGGUGUGAAAUCCUACAGCUUAAUUGUAGAACUGCACUUGAAACUUCUAAUCUAGAGUAUGGGAGGGGGAGAUGGAAUUAGUGGUGUAGGGGUAAAAUCCGUGGAUAUCACUAGGAAUACCUAAAGCGAAGGCGAUCUCCUGGAAUAUUACUGACGCUAAGGCGUGAAAGCGUGGGGAGCAAACAGGAUUAGAUACCCCAGUAGUC